GGGUGAAUGGUUAGACAACCUGUGGUACAUGCAUAUCACAGACUACUCUUCAGCUAUAAAAAGUGUUGACCUAAAAGGAAGAGGCUGAGGCACAAAAUAUAAUUUAAAGAGUUUACUUGAGACAAAGUUAAGACAGCUGCCGGGAAGACUCAGAUGCAGUUUCCUAAGGCUUUGUGAGGCACCGAGUCAAGGGAAGAGAGGAAGUGCUAAAUCUCACCAGACACUGGAGAGUGAUAUGGGGAUGCACCGUCAUGGUCCUCCCUGCUUUGCCAUGCUGAUGAUAAUGAGAAGGGACUGUGGAUGGACUUCACAUGAGGAGAGCCCUGCUAUGGAAUGGCACUCAAGUGCUCUAUUUUUCCACCCUCAGCUCUGACACAUCUCUGACAGGAGGCAAGUAGACACAUGGUACUGAGGAGAGAGGCCAUUUCUCUUACUGUCUCCUGUCUCUGAAGAGAAUGAGGAAGUAAAAGCUGAAGAAUAACAGGAAUGAAGUCAGUGGCAAGACCAACUGGUGCCACUGACCAGACCUGAGAUUGAAAGUUUAACCCUCCCCA
RNAcentral lists this long non-coding RNA (554 nucleotides) under Pan troglodytes (chimpanzee). Its description in RNAcentral is "long non-coding RNA NONPTRT011407". Lineage: Eukaryota; Metazoa; Chordata; Mammalia; Primates; Hominidae. The record is from RNAcentral.